CCUACGGGUGACAGCAGUGAGGAAUAUUGGUCAAUGGGCUUACGCCUGAACCAGCGAAGUCGCGUGAGGGAAGAAUGCCCUAUGGGUUGUAAACCUCUUUUGUCAGGGAGCAACGCCGGCUACGUGUAGACGGACUGAGAGUACCUGACGGAAAAGCAUCGGCUAACUCCGUGCCAGCAGACGCGGUAAUACGGAGGAUGCGAGCGUAAUCCGGAUUUAUUGGGUGUAAAGGGUGCGUAGGCGGAAUGCCAAGUCAGCGGUAAAAUCGCGGGGCUCAACCUCGAUCCGCCGUUGAAACUGGCGUUCUUGAGUGGGCGAGAAGUAUGCGGAAUUCGUGGUGUAGCGGUGAAAUGCAUAGAUAUCACGCAGAACUCCGAUUGCGAAGGCAGCAUACCGGCGCCCAACUGACGCUGAAGCACGAAAGCGUGGGUAUCGAACAGGAUUAGAUACCCUUGUAGUC
This 460-nucleotide ribosomal RNA is filed under the name uncultured bacterium. RNAcentral's name for it is "partial 16S ribosomal RNA". It matches the Rfam family "Bacterial small subunit ribosomal RNA", at positions 338 to 795 of the family's 1533-position model. The record is from RNAcentral.